ACGGUAACAGGCCUUCGGGUGCUGACGAGUGGCGAACGGGUGAGUAAUGCAUCGGAACGUGCCCAGUCGUGGGGGAUAACUGCUCGAAAGAGCAGCUAAUACCGCAUACGAUCUGCGGAUGAAAGCGGGGGACCUUCGGGCCUCGCGCGAUUGGAGCGGCCGAUGUCAGAUUAGGUAGUUGGUGGGGUAAAGGCCUACCAAGCCGACGAUCUGUAGCUGGUCUGAGAGGACGACCAGCCACACUGGGACUGAGACACGGCCCAGACUCCUACGGGAGGCAGCAGUGGGGAAUUUUGGACAAUGGGCGCAAGCCUGAUCCAGCAAUGCCGCGUGCGGGAAGAAGGCCUUCGGGUUGUAAACCGCUUUUGUACGGAACGAAAAGGCUCUGGCUAAUACCUGGGGCUGAUGACGGUACCGUAAGAAUAAGCACCGGCUAACUACGUGCCAGCAGCCGCGGUAAUACGUAGGGUGCGAGCGUUAAUCGGAAUUACUGGGCGUAAAGCGUGCGCAGGCGGUUGUGUAAGACAGGCGUGAAAUCCCCGGGCUUAACCUGGGAAUGGCGCUUGUGACUGCACGGCUGGAGUACGGCAGAGGGGGAUGGAAUUCCGCGUGUAGCAGUGAAAUGCGUAGAUAUGCGGAGGAACACCGAUGGCGAAGGCAGUCCCCUGGGCCUGUACUGACGCUCAUGCACGAAAG
This 696-nucleotide ribosomal RNA is filed under the name uncultured bacterium. RNAcentral describes it as "bacterial SSU rRNA". It matches the Rfam family "Bacterial small subunit ribosomal RNA", at positions 66 to 759 of the family's 1533-position model. The record is from RNAcentral.